Molecule: ribosomal RNA, 1001 nt
Filed under: Lacticaseibacillus paracasei
Lineage: Bacteria; Bacillati; Bacillota; Bacilli; Lactobacillales; Lactobacillaceae
Description: bacterial SSU rRNA
Rfam family: Bacterial small subunit ribosomal RNA
Source: RNAcentral
AUACAUGUGGGGGUGCUAAUACAUGCAGUCGAACGAGUGUCUCGCUGUGAUGAUCGGUGCUUGCACCGAGAUUCAACAUGGAACGAGUGGCGGACGGGUGAGUAACACGUGGGUAACCUGCCCUUAAGUGGGGGAUAACAUUUGGAAACAGAUGCUAAUACCGCAUAGAUCCAAGAACCGCAUGGUUCUUGGCUGAAAGAUGGCGUAAGCUAUCGCUUUUGGAUGGACCCGCGGCGUAUUAGCUAGUUGGUGAGGUAAUGGCUCACCAAGGCGAUGAUACGUAGCCGAACUGAGAGGUUGAUCGGCCACAUUGGGACUGAGACACGGCCCAAACUCCUACGGGAGGCAGCAGUAGGGAAUCUUCCACAAUGGACGCAAGUCUGAUGGAGCAACGCCGCGUGAGUGAAGAAGGCUUUCGGGUCGUAAAACUCUGUUGUUGGAGAAGAAUGGUCGGCAGAGUAACUGUUGUCGGCGUGACGGUAUCCAACCAGAAAGCCACGGCUAACUACGUGCCAGCAGCCGCGGUAAUACGUAGGUGGCAAGCGUUAUCCGGAUUUAUUGGGCGUAAAGCGAGCGCAGGCGGUUUUUUAAGUCUGAUGUGAAAGCCCUCGGCUUAACCGAGGAAGCGCAUCGGAAACUGGGAAACUUGAGUGCAGAAGAGGACAGUGGAACUCCAUGUGUAGCGGUGAAAUGCGUAGAUAUAUGGAAGAACACCAGUGGCGAAGGCGGCUGUCUGGUCUGUAACUGACGCUGAGGCUCGAAAGCAUGGGUAGCGAACAGGAUUAGAUACCCUGGUAGUCCAUGCCGUAAACGAUGAAUGCUAGGUGUUGGAGGGUUUCCGCCCUUCAGUGCCGCAGCUAACGCAUUAAGCAUUCCGCCUGGGGGAGUACGAACCGCCAAGGUUGAAAACUCAAAGGAAAUUGACGGGGGGCCCGCCACAAGCGGUGGAAGCAUGUGGGUUUAAUUCCAAAGCAACGCCGAAGAAACCUUUACCAGGGACC